GACGAACGCUGGCGGCGUGCCUAAUACAUGCAAGUAGAACGCUGAAGGAGGAGCUUGCUUCUCUGGAUGAGUUGCGAACGGGUGAGUAACGCGUAGGUAACCUGCCUGGUAGCGGGGGAUAACUAUUGGAAACGAUAGCUAAUACCGCAUAAGAGUAGAUGUUGCAUGACAUUUGCUUAAAAGGUGCAAUUGCAUCACUACCAGAUGGACCUGCGUUGUAUUAGCUAGUUGGUGGGGUAACGGCUUACCAAGGCGACGAUACAUAGCCGACCUGAGAGGGUGAUCGGCCACACUGGGACUGAGACACGGCCCAGACUCCUACGGAGGCAGCAGUAGGGAAUCUUCGGCAAUGGACGGAAGUCUGACCGAGCAACGCCGCGUGAGUGAAGAAGGUUUUCGGAUCGUAAAGCUCUGUUGUAAGAGAAGAACGAGUGUGAGAGUGGAAAGUUCACACUGUGACGGUAUCUUACCAGAAAGGGACGGCUAACUACGUG
Molecule: ribosomal RNA, 494 nt
Filed under: uncultured bacterium
Lineage: Bacteria
Description: partial 16S ribosomal RNA
Rfam family: Bacterial small subunit ribosomal RNA
Source: RNAcentral